Molecule: ribosomal RNA, 253 nt
Filed under: uncultured bacterium
Lineage: Bacteria
Description: partial 16S ribosomal RNA
Rfam family: Bacterial small subunit ribosomal RNA
Source: RNAcentral
UACGAAGGGGGCUAGCGUUGCUCGGAAUCACUGGGCGUAAAGCGCACGUAGGCGGAUUGCUAAGUCAGGGGUGAAAUCCUGGAGCUCAACUCCAGAACUGCUUUUGAUACUGGCGAUCUCGAGUCCGGGAGAGGUGAGUGGAACUGCGAGUGUAGAGGUGAAAUUCGUAGAUAUUCGCAAGAACACCAGUGGCGAAGGCGGCUCACUGGCCCGGUACUGACGCUGAGGUGCGAAAGCGUGGGGAGCAAACAGG